Ailuropoda melanoleuca (giant panda) is the source of this 2180-nucleotide long non-coding RNA. The record is from Ensembl. NCBI's taxonomy places the organism in Eukaryota, Metazoa, Chordata, Mammalia, Carnivora, Ursidae.
CCUUCAGCCCCUGUGAGGUGAGGGGGUCCUGCUUUCAGUCCAGUUGGCCCACUGAGGGCUGGGGGGAGGGUGCAGCCGCUGUGUCCCCCGUGCCCCUCCCCUCCCUGAAGGUGGCUGUCUGGAACCAUGGAGGAUGUUCCAUAUCAAGAGCUUGGGGCUGACUGGAGUCAUGAGAGCUGGUGGAGGGAGAGGACAGUGGGGGCAGACUGGAUGGUCCUGAGGCCUCGGCCCUUCAGGGGCCAGACCAGCCCCAGCAGCCUCUUGGUCACGCCUUGGGGAAGCUGAGAGCUGCCUGCUGCCCAGAAGGCUUGCUGCCUCAGCCGCACACCCCGGAUGCUCUGGAAUGUUCCCUGGCCCUGCUCAUUGGCCCUCAGAGCCUCUCCUCUGCUGCCCCUCCCAUGUCCCCUCCCCUCUGCCUCCUGGACGGGGCGCCUGGGCCCUGCAGAGUCUGUCCCUCCUGGCGACUUUCUCUCACUCAUCUCUUCCCCGUGCUCUUUUGCUAAAUUCUCCAGCUCUUCACUCUCCAUGAGGACCCUUCCGGAAAGCAGUGAGGAGAGGACAGGAAGGACUACAGCCUCCCACCACUGCCAGGCCAGUGAGAGGGAAGGAGCCCAAACCAGCAGCCACACCCACGGGAAGAUUUUCCCAGCUGGCCAUGACUGCAGCAUAGACACAAGUCCUUUUGUCUGCUGUCCCUCGGCCCCCCCGAGAGGUGGUGUGUGGAGAGGAUUUAGAAGAACACCCCACCCCUGACCCCCACUGACUGCAGCAGACAAAGGAGGUUCUCUUGUGCCUGGUGGGGGGUUGGGGGUUCCGGCCCAAGGAGGUGGGGGGUGGGGGGGUCCGGCCCGAGGAGGUGGGGUGGGGGCUCGCGCGGAGGGGCACUCAUGACCUCCUUAGCCCCUGGUUGCCCUGCACAUCUGCCUGCACAGCUGCAUGUCUCUCCGGGGCGCUCCCCACUCGUGGCUGGUGCGUCCGUGGACCCUGGGGGGGCUCUGGCAGCCCUGGGGCUAGUGACGCCUCCCAGAGACAAGUCAGGGCCAGGAGCCGCACAGUUCAGUUCGGGGCCAACACACUGCGUCUGCUGGGCUUGAGCCAGGACAUGGAGAAGGAGGUAGUCAGAUUGACUCCAGGGCCCCGAAGGCGGACUUGGGCGCAAAGGCCAACUCUGAGGAGCAGGAACCAAGCACGGGAUAAACCGUCCCUUCUUCAGCCUGGACCCAGGCUCGGGUCUGGCGCGGACCUCGUCUCUGAACUUGUCGUGAGUCACCGAGAAGGAAUUCACAGCCCGUGGAAACCAGCCUGAGACAACCCCGUGCCGUGGAGUGCUGAAGCCUGGGCUCUUGGGGUGGGGGACCCCCAGGAAAAUGGGAGCCCGUACCCACCCUGCCGGUGUGUGCGGGGUCAAGUGAGGGAACGCCUGUGAAACCACCAAGCAUCAGUCCUGGCCCCAAAAAGGUGCGUGAUGGACGUUAGAGUUCCUCUGUUCGUCUGUCCGUCCCCACGUUCUGAGAGAAAGAUCCAAACUGACACGAGUGCACACAGCACGAGUGGCACCUGGGGGUGGGUGGCCUUCAGCUCAGAAUUGCUCGUCAUGGAGACCUGUGUGCCCUGCCCCUGUCCGGCCUGGAGCCUCAGCUCCCCCUGCAAACACCUGGGGCUGUUUCUCUGUCUCUCCUGUCGUGUUUCAAGUCGCCCCUGGUAACUUUUCUUUCCAGACCCCUUUGUCCUCAGACAGGUUCUCUCUUCCCUAACGCCAGCUUCUGUAGCUGGUGUCCUAUUUAUCAAACUUACCCUUUUUACAUGCCUAAAUCCAUUUUUAUUUUUUUUAAGUUUACUUUUUAGUAAUCUUUACACCCAGUGUGGGGCUCGAACCCAUGACCCUAAGAUCAAGCGUCACACCCUCCUCCGAGCCUGCCAGGCACCCCUGCCUAAAUGCAUUUUUUUAAGUUUUUUCUUUAAAAGAUUUUAUUUAUUUAUUUGAGAGAGAGCAUGAGGGCACAAACGGGUAGGGGCAGAGGGAGAGGGAGAAGCAGGCUCCAUGCUGAGCAAGGAGCCCGAUGCAGGCCUCGAUCCCAGGACCCUGGGAUUAUGACCUGAGCCANCAUGACCCUAAGAUCAAGCAUCACACCCUCCUCCGAGCCUGCCAGGCACCCCUGCCUAAAUGCAUUUUUUUAAGU